AUUUGGUUUAAAUAAUGCAAAAACAAAGUGUUGGAGAAGAAAGUAAAAGUGCAAUAUGUGCCAUGUAAAAAAGCUGACGUUUCAGUUCCUUGCUCAGAACAUGAGAACAUAUGAAAUCUGGUGAUUCCUUUUAACAUGAGUCUUCAAUAUUCCCAGGUAAGAAGUUUUAGGUUGAGGUUAUUAUAGGAAUUAUAGGACUAUUUCUCUCUAUGCCAUUUGUAUUUCAUAUACCUUUGACUAUUGGAUGUUCUUAUAGGCAAUAUAGUAUUGCCAGUGUAACAGUAUAGCUUCCGUCCCUCUCCUCGCCCCUACCUGGGCUCGAACCAGGGACACAUCGACAACAGCCACCCUCAAAGCAGCGUUACCCAUCGCUCCACAAAAGCUGCAGUCUUGCAGAGCAAGGGGAACAACUACUCCAAGUCUCAGAGCGAGUGACGUCACUGAUGUUCUAAUAGGUGUUCUAAUUGCCACCCUAUUGGAUGUUCUAAUAGGUGUUCUAAUUGCCACCCUAUUGGAUGUUCUAAUAGGUGUUCUAAUUGCCACCCUAUUGGAUGUUCUAAUAGGUGUUCUAAUUGCCACCCUAUUGGAUGUUCUAAUAGGUGUUCUAAUUGCCACCCUAUUGGAUGUUCUAAUAGGUGUUCUAAUUGCCACCCUAUUGGAUGUUCUAAUAGGUGUUCUAAUUGCCACCCUAUUGGAUGUUCUAAUAGGUGUUCUAAUUGCCACCCUAUUGGAUGUUCUAAUAGGUGUUCUAAUUGCCACCCUAUUGGAUGUUCUAAUAGGUGUUCUAAUUGCCACCCUAUUGGAUGUUCUAAUAGGUGUUCUAAUUGCCACCCUAUUGGAUGUUCUAAUAGGUGUUCUAAUUGCCACCCUAUUGGAUGUUCUAAUAGGUGUUCUAAUUGCCACCCUAUUGGAUGUUCUAAUAGGUGUUCUAAUUGCCACCCUAUUGGAUGUUCUAAUAGGUGUUCUAAUUGCCACCCUAUUGGAUGUUCUAAUAGGUGUUCUAAUUGGCAGCAUAAUCUCGGGAGUUGAUAGGCUUGAAGUCAUAAAC
Oncorhynchus keta (chum salmon) is the source of this 1048-nucleotide long non-coding RNA. RefSeq lists it as uncharacterized. The record is from RefSeq and is a predicted model, not a curated record. The transcript is spliced from 3 exons. NCBI's taxonomy places the organism in Eukaryota, Metazoa, Chordata, Actinopteri, Salmoniformes, Salmonidae.